This 209-nucleotide ribosomal RNA is filed under the name uncultured bacterium. RNAcentral's name for it is "partial 16S ribosomal RNA". It matches the Rfam family "Bacterial small subunit ribosomal RNA", at positions 524 to 729 of the family's 1533-position model. The record is from RNAcentral.
UACGUAGGGUGCAAGCGUUGUCCGGAAUUAUUGGGCGUAAAGAGCUCGUAGGCGGUCUGUCGCGUCUGCUGUGAAAACUCAGGGCUUAACCCUGAGCUUGCAGUGGGUACGGGCAGACUAGAGUGCGGUAGGGGAGACUGGAAUUCCUGGUGUAGCGGUGAAAUGCGCAGAUAUCAGGAGGAACACCGGUGGGCCGAAAGGCGGGUCUC